UGGUUCUGGCAUNGAUGAAGAACGCAGCGAAAUGCGAUAAGUAGUGUGAAUUGCAGAAUUCAGUGAAUCAUCGAAUCUUUGAACGCACAUUGCGCCCCUUGGUAUUCCAUGGGGCAUGCCUGUUCGAGCGUCAUUUGAACCCUCAAGCUCUGCUUGGUGUUGGGUGUUUGUCCCGCCAUUGCGCGUUGGACUCGCCUUAAAGCAAUUGGCAGCCAUGUAAUCCGGCUUUGAGCGCAGCACAUUGCGUACUCUCUCCCGGUGCAGUAGGCCUCCAGAAGCCUUUUUUUACUCUUGACCUCGGAUCAGGUAGGGAUACCCGCUGA
This 323-nucleotide unclassified non-coding RNA is filed under the name uncultured fungus. Its description in RNAcentral is "partial contains 5.8S ribosomal RNA and internal transcribed spacer 2". The stretch from base 1 to 133 matches the Rfam family "5.8S ribosomal RNA", at positions 22 to 154 of the family's 154-position model. Lineage: Eukaryota; Fungi. The record is from RNAcentral.